AGUGUAGGAAAGAGAGGGACAGUCACAGGAGAAGGACUUUCAGAGUUUUAUACGCAUUCCAUUCAUCUUUUCCAUCUUGAAAUUUUCAGCUACUGAUGAGACUGUUUCAACAAUGACAGAUACUGAAAGGAUGAGGACAUAAGUGAGUGAAGGAAGUCAUGCACAAGACUUUCAGCUGAGCUCUAGACAUCUGAUGUAAGUUCUCCAUGCAGAUUGAAGUAUGCCCAGUGAUAUUGUGGAUGCCUUCUCCCUGGAAGCAUUCAAGGCAAGGCUGGAUGGUCAAGAGGAAGGCGUCAUUGCCUAUAGUAGGGGAGUUGGAGCUAGAUGAUGUCCCUUCCAACCCAAAGCAUUCUAUGAUUCUCUGAUUCUAAGUAUUCAUAGGGAGUACUCUAAAGCAGAAGUAAUAUGUGUUGCUCAGAAGCUCUGUGUUAUAAGGAUAAAAAUGCCAUGUAAAUACAGGAAGUACUCACUGGUCAAUUUCUUAAAGAAAGUGGCAAUUUUAAUUUCAUAUUGUGUAUAACUCAAUUGAACUCAAUUCAUGCAUAGGGCAUACAAAAAAAAAAAAAAAUUAAAAUUAUGAGCCUUUUCU
Molecule: long non-coding RNA, 589 nt
Organism: Gallus gallus (chicken)
Lineage: Eukaryota; Metazoa; Chordata; Aves; Galliformes; Phasianidae
Source: Ensembl